GGGACUACCAUGGCAGUAACGGGUAACGAAGAAUUAGGGUUCGAUUUCGGAGAGGGAGCAUGAGAAACGGCUACCACAUCUAAGGAAGGCAGCAGGCGCGUAAAUUACCCAAUCCUGACUCAGGGAGGUAGUGACAAGAAAUAGCAAACCGGGAACCUCAUGGUUUUAAGGUAUUGCAAUGAGAACAAUUUAAAACCCUUAGCGAGAAUCAAGUGGAGGACAAGUCUGGUGCCAGCACCCGCGGUAAUUCCAGCUCCACUAGCGUAUAUUAAAGUUGUUGCAGUUAAAAAGCUCGUAGUUGAACCUCUGUCUGGGGCUAGUUUUGGCUUUGGUCAGGCUAGUUCUAGGCAUCCGCCUACAAGACUUAGAGGGCAUUCAGUUGUUCACUAGGAGGAGUAGGCAUUUUACUUUGAAAAAAUUAGAGUGUUUAAGGCAGGCAAUCGCCCGCAUAUAUUAGCAUGGAAUAAUAGAAUAGGACACUUUUCCAUUUCGUUGGUUAUUGGAAUCGUGUAAUGAUUAAUAGGGACAGUUGUGGGCAUUUGUAUUUAAUUGUCAGAGGUGAAAUUCUUGGAUUUAUUAAAGACAAACUAACGCGAAAGCAUUUGCCAAGGAUGUUUUCAUUAAUCAAGAACGAAAGUUAGGGGAUCAAAGACGAUCAGAUACCGUCCUAGUCUUAACUAUAAACUAUUCCGACUCAAUGUUUGACUGGCUUAUAUAACCAGUUGAGCGUUGUAUGAGAAAUCAAAGUCUUUAGGUUCUGGGGGGAGUAUGGUUGCAAAGCUGAAACUUAAAGGAAUUGACGGAAGAGCACAACCAGGAGUGGAUUCUGCGGCUUAAUUUGACUCAACACGGGGAAACUUACCAGGUUAAAACAAUAGUGGGAUUGACAGUUUGAGAGCGCUUUCUUGAUUGGUUGGGUGGUGGUGCAUGGCCGUUCUUAGUUGGUGGAGUGAUUUGUCUGCUUAAUUGCGUUAACGAACGAGACCUUAACCUGCUUACUAGACUGGCGAUCAUCAAUCGUUAGCUCUUCUUAGAGGGACUUUGUUGUUUUAACUCCAAGGAAGUUUGAGGCAAUAACAGGUCUGUGAUGCCCUUAGAUAUCCUGGGCCGCACGCGUCAUACAAUGACUAGUUCAGAAAGUUUUCUCCUGACCCGAAAGGGGAUGGGUAAUCUUGAUAAUACUAGUCGUGUUAGGGAUCGAUCUUUGCAAUUAUAGAUCUUGAACGAGGAAUUCCUAGUAAGUGCGGUUCAUCAGACCGUACUGAUUACGUCCCUGCUCUUUGUACACACCGCCCGUCGCUUCUACCGAGUGGGUGGUCCGGUGAGAUAAUUGAACUUCGCAGGUAACUGAGAGGAAAGUC
Molecule: ribosomal RNA, 1361 nt
Filed under: metagenome
Description: SSU rRNA
Rfam family: Eukaryotic small subunit ribosomal RNA
Source: RNAcentral